AUGCGGCUGGUGCUCCUGGGCGACGACAACUGCGUGUUCCUCAAGACCGUGGGCGCGCUCGGCGCCGGCGUCACCGCCGUAUCUGUGGUGUGCGCCAGGGCGAGAGCGGCGAGGCGGCCGCGGUUCACGUGCAAGAUGUGGGUCAACCUGGAGACACCCCCGGCAGCAGUGGCAAACUGUGGCAAGGAGGACGUGGUGCUCGUGGACAUGCAAAUGAGGAGCAGCUCAUCGCCCGGCGCCGUGGUCGCUGCGGGCGAGCCCACAUUCCUGACAGUGCCGCCAAUGUACCUGGUGCCAGCAGCAGGAGACGGGGCAUCCAUGGAAGUUCCCCUGCACAUCCGCAUCGAUAAGCUCUCCCCUUGGUCCGACGCAUUGGUGUGA
RNAcentral lists this ribosomal RNA (381 nucleotides) under Triticum aestivum (bread wheat). RNAcentral's name for it is "partial small subunit ribosomal RNA". Lineage: Eukaryota; Viridiplantae; Streptophyta; Magnoliopsida; Poales; Poaceae. The record is from RNAcentral.